AGGGCGCACGGUGGAUGCCUUGGCACUAGGAGCCGAUGAAGGACGGGACAAACACCGAAAUGCUUCGGGGAGCUGUAAGUAAGCGUCGAUCCGGAGAUGUCCGAAUGGGGGAACCCACUGUCCGUAAUGGGGCAGUAUCCAUACCUGAAUCCAUAGGGUAUGGAGGGCAACCCGGGGAACUGAAACAUCUAAGUACCCGGAGGAAGAGAAAGCAACAGCGAUUCCCUGAGUAGCGGCGAGCGAAACGGGAACAGCCCAAACCAAGAGGCGUGCCUCUUGGGGUUGUAGGACACUCGAUUAAGGAGUGACAAAGGAACGGGGUAGACGAAGAGGUCUGGAAAGGCCCGUCAGAGAAGGUAACAACCCUGUAGUCGAAACUCCGUUCCCUCCCGAGUGGAUCCUGAGUACGGCGGGACACGUGAAAUCCCGUCGGAAGCAGGGAGGACCAUCUCCCAAGGCUAAAUACUCCCUAGUGACCGAUAGUGAACCAGUACCGUGAGGGAAAGGUGAAAAGCACCCCGGGAGGGGAGUGAAAGAGAACCUGAAACCGUGUGCCUACAAGUAGUCAGAGCCCAUUAACGGGUGAUGGCGUGCCUUUUGUAGAAUGAACCGGCGAGUUGCGAUUUCGUGCAAGGUUAAGCCGAAAGGCGGAGCCGCAGCGAAAGCGAGUCUGAAGAGGGCGAAAUAGUACGAGGUCGCAGACCCGAAACCAGGUGAUCUACCCAUGUCCAGGGUGAAGGCAAGGUAACACUUGCUGGAGGCCCGAACCCACGCACGUUGAAAAGUGCGGGGAUGAGGUGUGGGUAGGGGUGAAAUGCCAAUCGAACUUGGAGAUAGCUGGUUCUCUCCGAAAUAGCUUUAGGGCUAGCCUCAAGGGAAGAGUCUUGGAGGUAGAGCACUGAUUGGACGAGGGGCCCCCAUCGGGUUACCGAAUUCAGUCAAACUCCGAAUGCCAAUGACUUAUCCUUGGGAGUCAGACUGCGAGUGAUAAGAUCCGUGGUCAAAAGGGAAACAGCCCAGACCGCCAGCUAAGGUCCCAAAGUAUACGUUAAGUGGAAAAGGAUGUGGAGCUGCUUAGACAACCAGGAUGUUGGCUUAGAAGCAGCCACCAUUUAAAGAGUGCGUAAUAGCUCACUGGUCGAGUGGCUCUGCGCCGAAAAUGUACCGGGGCUAAACGUAUCACCGAAGCUGCGGGUUGACACCGUUGGUGUCAGCGGUAGGAGAGCGUUCUAAGGGCAUCGAAGCCGGACCGGAAGGACCGGUGGAGCGCUUAGAAGUGAGAAUGCCGGUAUGAGUAGCGAAAGAGGGGUGAGAAUCCCCUCCGCCGAAAGCCUAAGGUUUCCUGAGGAAGGCUCGUCCGCUCAGGGUUAGUCGGGACCUAAGCCGAGGCCGAAAGGCGUAGGUGAUGGACAACAGGUUGAUAUUCCUGUACCACCUCCUCACCGUUUGAGCAAUGGGGGGACGCAGGAGGAUAGGGCAAGCGCGCGGCUGGAUGUGCGCGUCCAAGCAGUUAGGCUGGCAAGCAGGCAAAUCCGCUUGCCGGAAGGCUGAACUGUGAUGGCGAGGGAAAGGAAGUACCGAAGUUCCCGAUUCCACACUGCCAAGAAAAGCCUCUAGCGAGGUGAGAGGUGCCCGUACCGCAAACCGACACAGGUAGGCGAGGAGAGAAUCCUAAGGUGAGCGAGAGAACUCUCGUUAAGGAACUCGGCAAAAUGACCCCGUAACUUCGGGAGAAGGGGUGCUCAUCAAGGUGAUAAGCCAUGAUGAGCCGCAGUGAAAAGGCCCAGGCGACUGUUUAGCAAAAACACAGGUCUCUGCGAAACCGUAAGGUGAAGUAUAGGGGCUGACGCCUGCCCGGUGCUGGAAGGUUAAGGGGAGCGCUUAAGCUGUAGCUGAAGGUGCGAACCGAAGCCCCAGUAAACGGCGGCCGUAACUAUAACGGUCCUAAGGUAGCGAAAUUCCUUGUCGGGUAAGUUCCGACCCGCACGAAAGGCGUAACGAUCUGGGCACUGUCUCAACGAGAGACUCGGUGAAAUUAUAGUACCUGUGAAGAUGCAGGUUACCCGCGACAGGACGGAAAGACCCCGUGGAGCUUUACUGCAGCCUGAUAUUGAAUGUGGGUACAGCUUGUACAGGAUAGGUAGGAGCCAGAGACGCGUGAGCGCCAGCUUGCGCUGAGGCGACGGUGGGAUACUACCCUGGCUGUACUGACAUUCUAACCCGCGCCCCUGAUCGGGGCGGGAGACAGUGUCAGGUGGGCAGUUUGACUGGGGCGGUCGCCUCCUAAAAGGUAACGGAGGCGCCCAAAGGUUCCCU
Molecule: ribosomal RNA, 2316 nt
Filed under: Aeribacillus pallidus
Lineage: Bacteria; Bacillati; Bacillota; Bacilli; Caryophanales; Bacillaceae
Description: bacterial LSU rRNA
Rfam family: Bacterial large subunit ribosomal RNA
Source: RNAcentral